CUUACGGAUGUGUCAGAAGAAAUAAGUUUUUCUCGCUUUAAUUUUUUCGCUGAAAAAGGGGAAAAAAGCUGAUGUCUUGGACGCGUUCGACUUAACCAGAAGACCGACCACUUCCGAGGGUUGGGAGAGCAAGGCCAAGGUCGACCUUAAGCCUCCAGCGCCCGUUUAUUAAGGGUGCUGAUUACAACAAGAUGAAGGCAAUCAUAGAUACUAUAGAAUGCCAACGUGAUUCUCCAAGAUUCAGGCAAGUCCUGGAUGAAAAUGAGAAGGACCUGGACAGCCUUGAGGUGAAGCUGGAGAAGGUGGUCAAGCAGUGUAACCAGAUGGUAUCAGCUGGGAAGCAGUUCAACCAUGAGCAAGAG
Molecule: long non-coding RNA, 362 nt
Organism: Penaeus indicus
Lineage: Eukaryota; Metazoa; Arthropoda; Malacostraca; Decapoda; Penaeidae
Exons: 4
Source: RefSeq, a predicted model, not a curated record